RNAcentral lists this ribosomal RNA (253 nucleotides) under uncultured bacterium. Its description in RNAcentral is "partial 16S ribosomal RNA". It matches the Rfam family "Bacterial small subunit ribosomal RNA", at positions 524 to 776 of the family's 1533-position model. The record is from RNAcentral.
UACGUAGGGUGCAAGCGUUGUCCGGAAUUAUUGGGCGUAAAGAGCUCGUAGGCGGUCUGUCGCGUCGGCUGUGAAAACCCGGGGCUCAACUCCGGGCCUGCAGCCGAUACGGGCAGACUAGAGUUCGGUAGGGGAGACUGGAAUUCCUGGUGUAGCGGUGAAAUGCGCAGAUAUCAGGAGGAACACCGGUGGCGAAGGCGGGUCUCUGGGCCGAUACUGACGCUGAGGAGCGAAAGCGUGGGGAGCGAACAGG